UACGAAGGGGGCUAGCGUUGCUCGGAAUCACUGGGCGUAAAGGGUGCGUAGGCGGGUUUUUAAGUCAGAGGUGAAAUCCUGGAGCUCAACUCCAGAACUGCCUUUGAUACUGGGAAUCUUGAGUAUGGAAGAGGUGAGUGGAACUGCGAGUGUAGAGGUGAAAAUUCGUAGAUAUUCGCAAGAACACCAGUGGCGAAGGCGGCUCACUGGUCCAUAACUGACGCUGAGGCACGAAAGCGUGGGGAGCAAACAGGGA
This 256-nucleotide ribosomal RNA is filed under the name uncultured bacterium. RNAcentral describes it as "partial 16S ribosomal RNA". It matches the Rfam family "Bacterial small subunit ribosomal RNA", at positions 524 to 778 of the family's 1533-position model. The record is from RNAcentral.